CAUGGCUUGUAAAGUAAAGGUGGCUAUGAUAUUUACCAAAUUUAAAUCCGUUCCAACAAAUCCAACAUGCUGUCAAAAUUAAAUCAAUAUGUCAAUAUGGCUACUGGGUGUAAAGUGUAAAAGAUAAAUCUUAUUCUAUCUGUUCUUAAUGAGUUUUAGAUAAUUUUAGUUGUAUUUCUUUGUAAUUUUGUGUUGUACAAAGAUUAAUUUAACAUUUUCUCUGGAAGUAUUAAUUUAGAAAGAUAAUUAUGCUUCAUUGGUGUUGUGUUUUGAAGUGUGAAAUGCAAAGUAAUUGUGAUAAAGUUCACUUUUAAACUGAACUAAAUAAGGUAUCUGAGAGACAACAAUGGUUAAAUGCAAUACAAUGUACAGGUUUUACUAGCGAAAUGAAAAUUUUCCUGUCCUGUCUGCUGUAAUCAUUUUAUAUCUGGAAAACCAGCCGACUUAAUCGAUAAUAACAAUCUCCAGAUUGGGUUCCUUCAAUAAAUAUGGGCUAUAAACACAAUGAAAUAAGUUCCCCAAAAUCUAAAAUGGAGUGGUAUCAAAGGAGAAUUAAAGGAAAAAAUAUUCAUAUUGAAAUUAUUUAUAAGGCACUGGACUGUCUUAAAUUCUACAAUAAUACUAGGUUUGUUCUAGCAAACAGUCAAACUAGUCAAAAACCAUCAGCAAACAGUUGGUCAGUAAAAGAACAUAAUACAGUCACCAGUGCGAUCCCCUCUACUCGCGCUGGUCCACUAUUCGCGAAGUGGUCUACAAAAAACCAGGAAGGAAACGGAAUAUGUGGCUACGAAAGGCAAAAGAAAGGUUUACAAAGCAAAUGUGACACAUUUUUUUGAAAUAUUUAGGAAUAUCAGUAAAUUGCAUUAAAAGAAUGUAUGAAAAGAUUUUGUUCAAUAAAAAUGUUUAUAUUUA
Long non-coding RNA from Diabrotica virgifera virgifera (western corn rootworm), 912 nucleotides. RefSeq lists it as uncharacterized. NCBI's taxonomy places the organism in Eukaryota, Metazoa, Arthropoda, Insecta, Coleoptera, Chrysomelidae. The record is from RefSeq and is a predicted model, not a curated record. The transcript is spliced from 3 exons.